GACAGAGGGUGCAAACGUUGCUCGGAAUCACUGGGCGUAAAGGGCGUGUAGGCGGGCAGGUAAGUCGGGCGUGAAAUCCCUGGGCUCAACCCAGGAACUGCACUCGAAACUACUUGUCUUGAGUGUCGGAGAGGAAAGCGGAAUUCCUGGUGUAGAGGUGAAAUUCGUAGAUAUCAGGAGGAACACCAGUGGCGAAGGCGGCUUUCUGGACGAUAACUGACG
Molecule: ribosomal RNA, 222 nt
Filed under: uncultured bacterium
Lineage: Bacteria
Description: partial 16S ribosomal RNA
Rfam family: Bacterial small subunit ribosomal RNA
Source: RNAcentral